GACGAACGCUGGCGGCGUGCUUAACACAUGCAAGUCGAACGGAAAGGCCCUGCUUUUGUGGGGUGCUCGAGUGGCGAACGGGUGAGUAACACGUGAGUAACCUGCCCUUGACUUUGGGAUAACUUCAGGAAACUGGGGCUAAUACCGGAUAGGAUCUCCUGCUGCUUGGUGGGGGUUGGAUAGUUUCGGCGGUUGGGGAUGGACUCGCGGCUUAUCAGCUUGUUGGUGGGGUAGUGGCUUACCAAGGCUUUGACGGGUAGCCGGCCUGAGAGGGUGACCGGCCACAUUGGGACUGAGAUACGGCCCAGACUCCUACGGGAGGCAGCAGUGGGGAAGAGUGCACAAGGGGCGGAAGGCUGAUCCAGCAACGCCGCGUGGGGGAUGACGGCCUUCGGGUUGUAAACCGCUUUCGCCUGUGACGAAGCGUGAGUGACGGUAAUGGGUAAAGAAGCACCGGCUAACUACGUG
This 468-nucleotide ribosomal RNA is filed under the name uncultured bacterium. RNAcentral's name for it is "partial 16S ribosomal RNA". It matches the Rfam family "Bacterial small subunit ribosomal RNA", at positions 28 to 507 of the family's 1533-position model. The record is from RNAcentral.